GGCAACAUUGAUAAAUAUGUCAGUUUGAUAAAACUACACUACAAAAUACAUAGAUGGCCUAACCAGAAUCUACAAUUCCAUGGCAGAACUUGACUCACGAAUUACUUUCCGAAACAGCUCUAACAACAACCGAAACAGCUUUGACAACAUCUGAUAAACACUUCGGAUCCCCAAAUUUAGUGUUCUGCCAUGUAUGUAUGACAAUAUCUCCGUGGUGUACAAAUUGAGCGACAAUUUGAGCGCAUAGAAUAAAAUAUUUUCCAUGCAAAAAAAUUACCAUAACCAGAAUGGUAUAACCAAAAACGAGCUCAAAAACAAAAUUUUUGUAAAAUCUGAAAAGUAUAUAGGCAUAAAAAAUUGUAGGGUCUAUGAUGUUACAUUGCAAUCAAUUCGUCUUAUUAAGUUAAUGAUCUUCAUAUGUAUGUGUAUGCAAAUAAACAAAUGCAAUGUUUUUAUUGCCGCUUCAA
Stomoxys calcitrans (stable fly) is the source of this 467-nucleotide long non-coding RNA. RefSeq lists it as uncharacterized. The transcript has 2 exons. The record is from RefSeq and is a predicted model, not a curated record. Lineage: Eukaryota; Metazoa; Arthropoda; Insecta; Diptera; Muscidae.